Molecule: ribosomal RNA, 693 nt
Filed under: uncultured Bacteroidales bacterium
Lineage: Bacteria; Pseudomonadati; Bacteroidota; Bacteroidia; Bacteroidales
Description: bacterial SSU rRNA
Rfam family: Bacterial small subunit ribosomal RNA
Source: RNAcentral
AACGCUAGCUACAGGCUUAACACAUGCAAGUCGAGGGGCAGCAUUACGGUAGCUUGCUACUGUAGAUGGCGACCGGCGCACGGGUGAGUAACGCGUAUCCAACCUGCCCAUGACUUGGGGAUAACCUUGCGAAAGCAAGCCUAAUACCCGAUACGCUUCAUAGACGGCAUCUGAAAUGAAGUAAAGGUUUACGGUUAUGGAUGGGGAUGCGUCCGAUUAGCUUGUUGGCGGGGUAACGGCCCACCAAGGCAUCGAUCGGUAGGGGUUCUGAGAGGAAGGUCCCCCACAUUGGAACUGAGACACGGUCCAAACUCCUACGGGAGGCAGCAGUGAGGAAUAUUGGUCAAUGGAGGCAACUCUGAACCAGCCAAGUAGCGUGCAGGAUGACGGCCCUAUGGGUUGUAAACUGCUUUUAUGCGGGGAUAAACUGACUCACGUGUGGGUCAUUGCAGGUACCGCAUGAAUAAGGACCGGCUAAUUCCGUGCCAGCAGCCGCGGUAAUACGGAAGGUCCGGGCGUUAUCCGGAUUUAUUGGGUUUAAAGGGAGCGUAGGCCGUUGUUUAAGCGUGUUGUGAAAUGUCCCGGCUCAACCGUGGCACUGCAGCGCGAACUGGACGACUUGAGUGCGCGGAACGUAUGCGGAAUUUGUGGUGUAGCGGUGAAAUGCUUAGAUAUCACGAAGAACUCCGAUUG